UUCGUCUUCCAUAGCAAUCCACUUGCAUGUGUACAAAUGUAUAAAUCGUAUUACAUGGGAGUUCCUUAUAAAGUCGUAUCAUUAUCACAAUAGUUCUGAAUAAUAUAAAGUAGCUAACAGUACAGUACUGAAUCAUAAAAAGGACCAGCUUCAGAUACCCUUCAAUUCUUAUGAUGAGUCCCUCUACUAGUCGAUCUAAAUUAAAUGCCUUGUCCCUUAUGAUAAACAUUAUAAAUAUGAGUUCCUAGUGCAUAUCUAUCAAUCAAAGUCAACAAAUUAAUGCUGCUGCUUUUUUGAUUUAAUGUCUAGUUGAUGGUGUGCAAACAUCCAAGAGGAAGAAGACAAUAAUAUUGUGUGAUGGUCAUUCACAUCACUGUCGCCUCUGAAGCCUGCAUGAGAACUCUGAAACACGAAUGACACUACACCAGUUGAGCUUAUUUUUUGCAGAAUACUCUUCUUUAGUUUUCUAAAAGACUGGUACGAAUGCAUCCAUGCAGAAGAAUCCAAAACCUAAGACACAACUUCUUUUGGUACUUGGAUCACUGUCGCCUCUGAACCUAAAUAAAAGCUUAAGCAGUCUUCCAAUUGCUUGGGAGACCAGAGAAUACAUCCAAAUCAGAAGAAGCCAAUGAAAACAGUCUUGAGGUAUUUAUAUCACUGAUGGCUGAAUGCGUCCAAGCAGAAGAAGCCAAGAAAAGCUACGAGACGUUCAUGGAAUAACAGAAGCUGAGACUCAACUAGGAGAUAAAUGAACUGCAAGUAAGCAUCAACAGCUGGAUGGAACAGAAGGAGAUGAGACAUCAAUGUUCUGCACCAGAUUCAGUUCUUGGUGAACAUGUCCUUUGCUUGCAAACAUAUGGAUUAUUUCUGCAUGUUUUGGGCACCAUAUAAGACCAAGAAACAUUUGGCAUUUAAGACCAAAGAGACGAAGAGUUACUUCUACAGAACUUAGAAAUUAUGUCCAAUCUUGAAUCUUACCACCCUCAUUUCCUUUCAUUUCUAAUUAUUGUACCAUGUUUUCUUUUGUCAUUUUCAUGAGGAUGACUAAUAAGUACAAAGGAAUUUUAUGGAAUGCUACAUCUGAUGGCAGUGAGAGACAUUUAUAACAAAGUAGAAGAGAAGAAUUAUGGAAACAUCAGCAUACAUCUAACAAAGAGAAAGAAUCAGUGACAGACAAGAAUCAUUCAGUAAUGACAGCUUGGACUGAGAACGAUGAUGACAACAUGACAUGAAUGAAAGGAUUAAUGAGAUUGUAUCAAGAUGACCACAAUUUAUACCACAGCAUAUCAUUCACGCUAUGAUGCAAAAGAUAUCAAAGAAAAGCUUUUGUUUUCUUUGGUUCAUAUAGAACAUGGAAGCUAAAUAGACAGUAAGGGAGAAGGAAAAUUGUUACAUAGUUAAAAAAGCAAGACAAUCUUUCACUAAUCUAAAUCAAAACACAAGCAACUGACUACCGAUGCACUCGACUACAGGAUUAUAUGUGACUUCAAAAUUAUAAGAAACAAAAAUAGAGAUUUCUGCCGAGACAAUUAUCCAACGAUACGACUUUUAUUCCAUACAAGAAAGAGUGGGAAACUGUUAUCUGAUUACAGAACUAGCUUUAAAUAAGUGCCAGUCGGCACCUUCCUCGANN
This 1633-nucleotide long non-coding RNA is filed under the name Musa acuminata (dwarf banana). RNAcentral describes it as "long non-coding RNA (MACU_LNC008957)". Lineage: Eukaryota; Viridiplantae; Streptophyta; Magnoliopsida; Zingiberales; Musaceae. The record is from RNAcentral.